RNAcentral lists this ribosomal RNA (400 nucleotides) under uncultured bacterium. RNAcentral's name for it is "bacterial SSU rRNA". It matches the Rfam family "Bacterial small subunit ribosomal RNA", at positions 8 to 410 of the family's 1533-position model. The record is from RNAcentral.
AGAGUUUGAUCCUGGCUCAGAUUGAACGCUGGCGGCAGGCCUAACACAUGCAAGUCGAGCGGAUGAGGGGAGCUUGCUCCCUGAUUCAGCGGCGGACGGGUGAGUAAUGCCUAGGAAUCUGCCUGGUAGUGGGGGACAACGUUUCGAAAGGAACGCUAAUACCGCAUACGUCCUACGGGAGAAAGCAGGGGACCUUCGGGCCUUGCGCUAUCAGAUGAGCCUAGGUCGGAUUAGCUAGUUGGUGGGGUAAAGGCUCACCAAGGCGACGAUCCGUAACUGGUCUGAUAUGAUGAUCAGUCACACUGGAACUGAGACACGGUCCAGACUCCUACGGGAGGCAGCAGUGGGGAAUAUUGGACAAUGGGCGAAAGCCUGAUCCAGCCAUGCCGCGUGUGUGAAG